This 330-nucleotide unclassified non-coding RNA is filed under the name Hevea brasiliensis (rubber tree). The record is from RNAcentral. Lineage: Eukaryota; Viridiplantae; Streptophyta; Magnoliopsida; Malpighiales; Euphorbiaceae.
UGUCUUCAAGCCCUUGAAAGAGCCUUCUCAGCCUCUUGUUUAUCUUAAUAAUAACUAUUCGUGACAUUGUUUGGUGGACAGAGUUACCGGUUUUGUGUUGGUGGGAGGUCCCAUAGAAUUAGUUGAGAUACACACAAGUUGACACGGGCACCCCAUGGUUAUCAAAAAAGUAUAUCUAUACUUUGCCAUAGCUCUAAACUCCAAGUACCCCCGAUAGGCUGAUGCAUAAUCCUUUUUUCCCCCUAAAGAAUACUGGAAUGAAAUGGGUCCGAAUGGAGCAGAGUAGAUAAUACUUAUAUAGAAUAUUCAUAUAGCUGACCAAAAUUUAUG